This is a non-coding RNA of Gossypium raimondii (Peruvian cotton), 87 nucleotides long. Lineage: Eukaryota; Viridiplantae; Streptophyta; Magnoliopsida; Malvales; Malvaceae. The record is from Rfam.
CACGUCAACGCGAGAUGCUAACGUGGAAGGAAAUUGCGUCUUUGAGAGCACGAUUUCCUUCCACGUCAGCAUCUCGCGCUGACGUGG